UGAAAAGCGAAGAAAAGAAAAAGUAAUAAUUGAAAAUGCCAUACAGAGAGCAGCCGGUUGAUGAGAGGAGCAUGGACUAUCAAUUAUGAAUACAUCUUGGAGCAGUACACCGAAUGCGAAAGUUAGUAGGCUGUAACGGAGUGGCACUCGUUAUCGUGCUGGAAGUAUUGAUAGAUACUUGUUGAGGCAUUCAAUGCGAGUUGAAUGUGAAUUAAGGUGGUACCGCGAGAAUUACACUCGCCCUUUAG
Molecule: non-coding RNA, 248 nt
Filed under: Lachnospiraceae bacterium
Lineage: Bacteria; Bacillati; Bacillota; Clostridia; Lachnospirales; Lachnospiraceae
Description: T-box sequence
Rfam family: T-box leader
About the family: Uncharged tRNA acts as the effector for transcription antitermination of genes in the T-box leader family. T-boxes are found upstream of many aminoacyl-tRNA synthetase genes and some amino acid biosynthetic genes usually in Gram-positive bacteria.
Source: RNAcentral